CAGACAAGCUAUGCUCACGUAUUCCUCUGUUUCUCGGAGUGCGUGGGGUACGGCCUGGGGUGGCAACUUUGGACCAUUCCCCUUGAAGUUGAAAGUCCAUCUCCUGGUCUUCGUCUCUUUCGUCGUCCCAACCAGCUCAUCCUUAAUGGAGGAAGUGACUUCCUGCAACAUUUCCCUGAUGUCAGACUUGGAAGGGAGUUUACUUAGGGGACUUAUCAUAGGUCACUUUACAAAUACCUUGGGGGCUUUGACAACAGCUGUGUGCAAGAGACAUUUCUAAACCGUGUAGAAGAAGGGAAUUUGCUUAAUUUACUAUAAAAUCCAAAAAAACCUCUAUCUGCGGAAAAAGUCUAGACAAAAUCAUGUGACAAUUCAAAACGUGUGAUGAUUGUCUCGAAACUUUGAUUUUUUGGGAUUUUAAAAUGAAAACCAGCACCAAACAGCCCAAAAAGCUUUGAAUAUCAUGAAGGCAAAAUGUAAGAAUUCAGUGCACAUGAACGCGCGCGUCAAGAUGGGCGCCAUUGUGGACACGUGCGUAAUCACGGACAUGUGCAUCUAAACGUCCACCAAUGUGAACGUGCGCAGCGUCAUGACGCAGGACGCAGGCAUCACUACGUUUGGCGCCAAAACGCCCUCCUUAAAAGAACGCUCAGGGAAAGGUUCUGUGCUUAGUGAUAAACUUUGCUCCUGUAUACUUGUAUCCUGAUUAUUUGAUUCCGGUUUGACUUCUGCUUUGAAUCUCUGACUAAAUUUGAUCUCUGCCUGCAUCUGACCCCAGCCUGUUAACCUGAUUACGAUUGAUCUCCGCCUGCAUCGACCUCGGCCUGUUAAACGACUAUGACUGAACUCCACCUGCACUGACCUCGGCCUACCCAUUCGACUUCUCUUCUGCUUAACCCCCACUACAACUACUCCACGUGAACAGUUUGUGACUCUCCAGUUUGGUCAUGUCUCCUCACAUUUUGGCUCUAGACUGGUUAAGCCUGACACAAAAAGAUGUUCCAAUUGUAUAAUGGACAUUUGCCAUUGAAUUCUAGAUGACUUCAUCAGGUUUUAGCUGGAGUAUUUUCAGAUUCAGAUUUUUAGCAGCUUUGGAACAUAACAAAUCUUGAAAAAUCAGAGUUUUUCUCCCUCCAAAAUUUUGGUUUAAUAAAUUGGCCCCUAAAAUUGUGAACUAAGUUUUUUUGUUCAGCAAUAAAUUUAUUUGAGAAUUACAUUUUCUGUAGACUACAAAUAAAGGAGGUAAUAAAUAUGAAGUGAAAGUGCGCUUCCUUAGAACAUUGCGGAUAUAAAAGGGAAAAUGUGUUCAUGUAACAUAGACAACCCUGCUGUGAGCUACAAGUUCAACAGUCCAAUAUUUCUGACAAAAUGGAAAUAUGUGACUGAAAUUUGUUUUUGCAUUGCUUCUUUGCACUAUUAGGAAAUGUCAUUGGUACCAUAAAAUGCAUUACUUUAUCCUAUUAGGAAAAUAUUUUGCUGUAAAAUCUAGUACUUCUGCAGUUGUUUGGUGAAAAGGAUUUUAUUGGAAGUAUAUAUCAUAGAGUUCUACCUGAAUUUGUAUUUUCUAUUAUCAUCAAGGAGGCUAAGGAAAAUAUUUCAUACCUAGCUACUCGCUUCUCUGAAUCUUAACAGUAUUUGUUUUUAGAGAUUUCCUUUUAUUUAGUACAGCUGUUAACUUCACAGAAGGUGCUUUUUUAUAUUAAAAUAUAGAACCACAUUUUUUUUAUUUAAAUAUAAUCAUGCACUGCAUAAACAAUGUUUAGAUUUACAAUACACCAAGACAUAUUCUGCCAUGACUUACUGAUAAAAAGAUAUGCACAUAACCCAUCGUGAGUCCUUUCUGUAUGUAAAAACUCUAGCCUACCAACACUCAUACACUAAAGGACAGCCUUACUAACAUUUCGAAAAUAUUUUCAACAUUCCAAAUUUGAAAAAAUGUUUUUACUCUUAUUUGCAAACUGUUUCCUUAUUUGCAAACUGUAUUUCCUGGUGCAUAAGUGACUUUGUAACAAAUAUUUUUAUAGAAUGAUAAAUGUGAUAUAAUUUUGCAAUAGCAAAUGGUUUAUACCAUAUAAAUGCAAUACAUCCCAGACUGCUUUGAGUUUCCAUUUGCUGGAUUAAGGUAUACAUUUUGGAAAAUGUAAUUCUAAUAAAGAGUAUUUUUCUAUA
Molecule: long non-coding RNA, 2169 nt
Organism: Xenopus laevis (African clawed frog)
Lineage: Eukaryota; Metazoa; Chordata; Amphibia; Anura; Pipidae
Exons: 3
Source: RefSeq, a predicted model, not a curated record